AUGAAAGAAGAUAAUGGAAACUGGGAGUUUAAAGGAGGCAAUGAGAGAAUUUCAGGGUGCAGAACAAGGGUCCAGUGUGAGGUGCAGCUGGUGGAGUCUGGGGGAGGCCUAGUGCAGCCUGGAAAGUCCCUGAAACUCUCCUGUGCAGCCUCUGGAUUCACCUUCAGUAGCUAUGACAUGAACUGGGUCCGCCAGGCUCCAGGGAAAGGACUGGAGUGGGUCGCAUACAUUAGUAAUAGUGGUGGUACCAUCAGAUAUGCCGAUGCUGUGAAGGGCCGAUUCACCAUCUCCAGAGACAAUGCCAAGAACAGCCUGUACCUGGAAAUGAGCAGUCUGAAAUCUGAAGACACAGCCACGUAUUAUUGUGCCAGAAGCACAGUGGUACAAAUUGACUGUGGACUCAGACACAAACCUAUCGGGGGCUAG
Peromyscus leucopus (white-footed mouse) is the source of this 426-nucleotide non-coding RNA. Lineage: Eukaryota; Metazoa; Chordata; Mammalia; Rodentia; Cricetidae. The record is from the annotation of a RefSeq genome assembly.